GUUAGGGUGUCUGAAUUAAAGGUAGUAAAUUGUAAAUUUACUUAUAGAUAUAAUAAUCUUCCUAAUA
This 67-nucleotide transfer RNA is filed under the name Japananus hyalinus. RNAcentral describes it as "tRNA-Tyr". The record is from RNAcentral. Lineage: Eukaryota; Metazoa; Arthropoda; Insecta; Hemiptera; Cicadellidae.